CCUACGUGUGGCAGCAGUGGGGAAUAUUGGGCAAUGGGCGCAAGCCUGACCCAGCAACGCCGCGUGAAGGAAGAAGGCUUUCGGGUUGUAAACUUCUUUUCUCAGGGACGAAGCAAGUGACGGUACCUGAGGAAUAAGCCACGGCUAACUACGUGCCAGCAGCCGCGGUAAUACGUAGGUGGCAAGCGUUAUCCGGAUUUACUGGGUGUAAAGGGCGUGUAGGCGGGACUGCAAGUCAGAUGUGAAAACCACGGGCUCAACCUGUGGCCUGCAUUUGAAACUGUAGUUCUUGAGUACUGGAGAGGCAGACGGAAUUCCUAGUGUAGCGGUGAAAUGCGUAGAUAUGACGAAGAACCCCGAUUGCGAAGGCAGCUUGCUGCAGCGGAACUGACGCUGAUGCUCGAAAGUGUGGGUAUCAAACAGGAUUAGAUACCCGUGUAGUC
Molecule: ribosomal RNA, 443 nt
Filed under: uncultured bacterium
Lineage: Bacteria
Description: partial 16S ribosomal RNA
Rfam family: Bacterial small subunit ribosomal RNA
Source: RNAcentral